This is an RNA transcript of Odobenus rosmarus divergens (Pacific walrus), 1082 nucleotides long. It is a transcript of the gene named SWI/SNF-related matrix-associated actin-dependent regulator of chromatin subfamily E member 1-like, with no coding region annotated. NCBI's taxonomy places the organism in Eukaryota, Metazoa, Chordata, Mammalia, Carnivora, Odobenidae. The transcript has a single exon. The record is from RefSeq and is a predicted model, not a curated record.
GCGCUUUUUCUGCCCGCGGUGUCUCAGAUUCAUUCUCAAGGAACUGAGAACUUAAUCUUCCAAAAUGUCAAAAAGACCAUCUUAUGCCCCACCUCCCACCCCAGCUCCUGCAACACAAAUGCCCAGCACACCAGGGUUUGUGGGAUACAAUCCAUACAGUCAUCUCGCCUACAACAACUACAGGCUGGGAGGGAACCCGGGCACCCACAGCUGGGUCACGGCAUCCUCUGGUAUUACGAUUCCAGAACCUCCAAAGCCACCAGAUAAGCCGCUGAUGCCCUACAUGAGGUACAGCAGAAGGGUCUGGGACCAAGUAAAAGCUUCCAACCCUGACCUAAAGUUGUGGGAGAUGGGCAAGAUUAUUGGUGGCAUGUGGCGAGAUCUCACUGAUGAAGAAAAACAAGAAUAUUUAAAUGAAUACGAAGCAGAAAAGAUAGGGUACAAUGAAUCUAUGAAGGCCUAUCAUAAUUCCCCCGCAUACCUUGCUUACGUAAUACAAAAAGUCGUGCAGAAGCUGCUUUAGAGGAAGAAAGUCGACAGAGACAGUCUCGCGUGGAGAAAGGAGAACCGUACAUGAGCAUUCAGCCUGCUGAAGAUCCAGACGAUUAUGAUGAUGGCUUCUCAAUGAAGCAUACAGCCACUGCCCGUUUCCAGAGAAACCACCGCCUCAUCAGUGAAAUCCUUAGUGAGAGUGUGGUGCCAGACGUCCGUUCAAUUGUCACAACAGCUAGAAUGCAGGUCCUCAAACGACAGGUCCAGUCCUUAAUGGUUCAUCAGCGAAAACUAGAAGCUGAACUUCUUCAAAUAGAGGAGCGACACCAGGAAAAGGAGGAAAUUCCUGGAAAGCACAGAUUCAUUUAACAAUGAACUUAAAAGGUUGUGCGGUUUGAAAGUAGAAGUGGAUAUGGAAAAAAUUGCCACUGAAAUUGCACAGGCAGAGGAAUAGGCUUGAAAAAGGCAGGAGGAAAGAGAAAGAAGCCGCAGAGCAAGCUGAACGCAGUCAGAGCAGCAUGGUUCCUGAGGAAGACCAAGCUGCUAGUAAGAGCGAGGAGAAGAAGGACGAGAGCAUCCCGAUGGAGACA